GAUGAACGCUGGCGGCGUGCCUAAUUCAUGCAAGUCGAGCGAACAGACGAGGAGCUUGCUCCUCUGACGUUAGCGGCGGACGGGUGAGUAACACGUGGAUAACCUACCUAUAAGACUGGGAUAACUUCGGGAAACCGGAGCUAAUACCGGAUAAUAUAUUGAACCGCAUGGUUCAAUAGUGAAAGACGGUUUUGCUGUCACUUAUAGAUGGAUCCGCGCCGCAUUAGCUAGUUGGUAAGGUAACGGCUUACCAAGGCAACGAUGCGUAGCCGACCUGAGAGGGUGAACGGCCACACUGGAACUGAGACACGGUCCAGACUCCUACGGGAGGCAGCAGUAGGGAAUCUUCCGCAAUGGGCGAAAGCCUGACGGAGCAACGCCGCGUGAGUGAUGAAGGUCUUCGGAUCGUAAAACUCUGUUAUUAGGGAAGAACAAAUGUGUAAGUAACUAUGCACGUCUUGACGGUACCUAAUCAGAAAGCCACGGCUAACUACGUG
Molecule: ribosomal RNA, 497 nt
Filed under: uncultured bacterium
Lineage: Bacteria
Description: partial 16S ribosomal RNA
Rfam family: Bacterial small subunit ribosomal RNA
Source: RNAcentral